RNAcentral lists this transfer RNA (74 nucleotides) under Ignavibacteria bacterium. Its description in RNAcentral is "tRNA-Ile". It matches the Rfam family "tRNA". From Rfam's summary of the family: Transfer RNA (tRNA) molecules are approximately 80 nucleotides in length. Their secondary structure includes four short double-helical elements and three loops (D, anti-codon, and T loops). Further hydrogen bonds mediate the characteristic L-shaped molecular structure. tRNAs have two regions of fundamental functional importance: the anti-codon, which is responsible for specific mRNA codon recognition, and the 3' end, to which the tRNAs corresponding amino acid is attached (by aminoacyl-tRNA synthetases). tRNAs cope with the degeneracy of the genetic code in two manners: having more than one tRNA (with a specific anti-codon) for a particular amino acid; and 'wobble' base-pairing, i.e. permitting non-standard base-pairing at the 3rd anti-codon position. RNAcentral also lists the same sequence under 1 other name. Lineage: Bacteria; Pseudomonadati; Ignavibacteriota; Ignavibacteria. The record is from RNAcentral.
GGGCCUGUAGCUCAGCUGGUUAGAGCACACGCCUGAUAAGCGUGAGGUCAGCGGUUCAAGUCCGCUUGGGCCCA